RNAcentral lists this transfer RNA (72 nucleotides) under Bos taurus (domestic cattle). It matches the Rfam family "tRNA". Rfam says of the family: Transfer RNA (tRNA) molecules are approximately 80 nucleotides in length. RNAcentral also lists the same sequence under 5 other names. The record is from Rfam by way of RNAcentral. Lineage: Eukaryota; Metazoa; Chordata; Mammalia; Artiodactyla; Bovidae.
CCCUAGUGGCCUCAGCUGGUAAAGAAUCCACCUGCAAUGUGGGAGACCUGGGUUCGAUCCCUGGACUGGGAA